AGUGAACGCUGGCGGUAGGCCUAACACAUGCAAGUCGAACGGCAGCACAGGAGAGCUUGCUCUCUGGGUGGCGAGUGGCGGACGGGUGAGGAAUACAUCGGAAUCUACUCUGUCGUGGGGGAUAACGUAGGGAAACUUACGCUAAUACCGCAUACGACCUACGAGUGAAAGCAGGGGACCUUCGGGCCUUGCGCGAUUGAAUGAGCCGAUGUCGGAUUAGCUAGUUGGCGGGGUAAAGGCCCACCAAGGCGACGAUCCGUAGCUGGUCUGAGAGGAUGAUCAGCCACACUGGAACUGAGACACGGUCCAGACUCCUACGGGAGGCAGCUGUGGGGAAUAUUGGACAAUGGGCGCAAGCCUGAUCCAGCCAUACCGCGUGGGUGAAGAAGGCCUUCGGGUUGUAAAGCCCUUUUGUUGGGAAAGAAAUCCAGCUGGCUAAUACCCGGUUGGGAUGACGGUACCCAAAGAAUAAGCACCGGCUAACUUCGUGCCAGCCGCCGCGGUAA
This 506-nucleotide ribosomal RNA is filed under the name uncultured bacterium. Its description in RNAcentral is "partial 16S ribosomal RNA". It matches the Rfam family "Bacterial small subunit ribosomal RNA", at positions 29 to 523 of the family's 1533-position model. The record is from RNAcentral.